ACACAAGAAGGGAGGUGGUCCGCGAAAUUGAUAGCUUCAUGGACAUGUGAGGUGGCUGCGAGCUAGCUGCAUUGGCUCGGCAGAUUCUUCGACCAUCGCGCUGGCGAAUCUCCCGUAGCCACCCGGCCCCCGAGCUUCCGGUCCGUCCAACCGGAAUAUGGCUCGGGGGCCGCUCCAU
Molecule: small RNA, 178 nt
Filed under: Mycobacterium asiaticum
Lineage: Bacteria; Bacillati; Actinomycetota; Actinomycetes; Mycobacteriales; Mycobacteriaceae
Description: Actinobacteria sRNA Ms_IGR-5
Rfam family: Actinobacteria sRNA Ms_IGR-5
Source: Rfam by way of RNAcentral